GAGGGUAUAGCUCAGUGGUAGACUGCGUGCCUAGCAAGCACGAGGUCCUGAGUUCAUUCCCCAGCACCUCCA
Molecule: transfer RNA, 72 nt
Filed under: Camelus bactrianus (Bactrian camel)
Lineage: Eukaryota; Metazoa; Chordata; Mammalia; Artiodactyla; Camelidae
Also listed under: 2 other names
Rfam family: tRNA
About the family: Transfer RNA (tRNA) molecules are approximately 80 nucleotides in length. Their secondary structure includes four short double-helical elements and three loops (D, anti-codon, and T loops). Further hydrogen bonds mediate the characteristic L-shaped molecular structure. tRNAs have two regions of fundamental functional importance: the anti-codon, which is responsible for specific mRNA codon recognition, and the 3' end, to which the tRNAs corresponding amino acid is attached (by aminoacyl-tRNA synthetases). tRNAs cope with the degeneracy of the genetic code in two manners: having more than one tRNA (with a specific anti-codon) for a particular amino acid; and 'wobble' base-pairing, i.e. permitting non-standard base-pairing at the 3rd anti-codon position.
Source: Rfam by way of RNAcentral